AUUUUUUUUUUAAUUUGUUGAGGCAACGAAUAUAUUUUUUUCUAAACUGUGAAUUACUAUCGAAAAAAAACUUACUUACUUUUAAAAACCGAAGAUUCUUCAAAAAAAAAAGAAAUUCGACUGAAACAAAUCCUACAAAUACCUAAUUUUAUGACAAAAUCAACAAAAUUUAUUAGUAAUGAAAAGUUACAAUUCUUCAACACAAGAUAUCGAAGAAGUACAAUCAACUCAUUUGUUAUAGCAAGAUACAGAUUUGAACGAAAGACCGUCAGCUUUUCCUCCAUCAGAAGAUGCCAGAGAAAUAUAGUCAAGAACUGAUAUUUCACAUUAAGUAGUGAUCGCUUUCGCUGGAAUUUACACGACGAAACGGGAUUUUAUAACUAUGAACAGUGUACCACAGAAUGAAGUUACGGAUUUAAAAAAUUCCAGAAAUGUUAAUAAAGGUGGAACGAGGUUUUGUUCUAAAAGUUAAUCGAACGUACUUUGAAGAACUGAGAAUUAUUAUUUUGUAUUUUGUAAAACUAAAUUUUUUUUUACAAUUUAUCUGAGAUAGGUACGAAUCAAUAAAAUGAUCUUACAAAUAAAUGAGACGGAAAGUAUCCUGAUGAUUUAGAAGAGA
Bactrocera oleae (olive fruit fly) is the source of this 619-nucleotide long non-coding RNA. RefSeq lists it as uncharacterized. The record is from RefSeq and is a predicted model, not a curated record. NCBI's taxonomy places the organism in Eukaryota, Metazoa, Arthropoda, Insecta, Diptera, Tephritidae.